AUUGAACGCUGGCGGUAUGCUUAACACAUGCAAGUCGAACGGUAACAGGCCUUCGGGCGCUGACGAGUGGCGGACGGGUGAGUAACGCGUAGGAAUCUGCCUCAUAGUGGGGACAACGUGGGGAAACUCACGCUAAUACCGCAUACGCCCUACGGGGGAAAGCGGGGGAUCUUCGGACCUCGCGCUAUGAGAUGAGCCUGCGUUAGAUUAGCUAGUUGGUAGGGUAAAGGCCUACCAAGGCGACGAUCUAUAGCUGGUCUGAGAGGACGAUCAGCCACACUGGGACUGAGACACGGCCCAGACUCCUACGGGAGGCAGCAGUGGGGAAUAUUGGACAAUGGGCGCAAGCCUGAUCCAGCAAUACCGCGUGUGUGAAGAAGGCCCUAGGGUUGUAAAGCACUUUCAAUUGGGAGGAAACCUGCCGGUCAAUACCCGGCAGCUUGACAUUACCUUUAGAAGAAGCACCGGCUAACUCCGUGCCAGCAGCCGCG
This 491-nucleotide ribosomal RNA is filed under the name uncultured bacterium. RNAcentral describes it as "bacterial SSU rRNA". It matches the Rfam family "Bacterial small subunit ribosomal RNA", at positions 30 to 519 of the family's 1533-position model. The record is from RNAcentral.